AGCUUGUUGGUGGGGUAAUGGCCUACCAAGGCUACGAUGGUUAGCUGGUCUGAGAGGAUGAUCAGCCACACUGGAACUGACACACGGUCCAGACUCCUACGGGAGGCAGCAGUGAGGAAUUUUGCGCAAUGGGGGAAACCCUGACGCAGCAACGCCGCGUGAGUGAUGAAGGCUUUCGGGUCGUAAAACUCUGUCAAGUGGGAAGAACCUGUCCUGUGCCAAUACCACAGGACACUGACGGUACCACUAAAGGAAGCACCGCUAACUCCGUGCCAGCAGCCGCGGUAAUACGGGGGGUGCAAGCGUUAUUCGGAAUCAUUGGGCGUAAAGGGCGCGUAGGCGGCCUUGUAAGUCAGAUGUGAAAGCCCGGGGCUUAACCCCGGAAGUGCAUUUGAAGCUACAAGACUUGAGUAUGGGAGAGGGAAGUGGAAUUCCUGGUGUAGAGGUGAAAUUCGUAGAUAUCAGGAGGAACAUCAGUGGCGAAGGCGACUUCCUGGACCAAUACUGACGCUAAGGCGCGAAGGCGUGGGUAGCAAACAGGAUUAGAUACCCUGGUAGUCCACGCAGUAAACGUUGAUCACUAGGUGCAGCGGGUAUUGACCCCUGCUGUGCCGUAGUUAACGCAUUAAGUGAUCCGCCUGGGGAGUACGGCCGCAAGGCUAAAACUCAAAGGAAUUGACGGGGGCCCGCACAAGCGGUGGAGCAUGUGGUUUGAUUCGACGCAACGCGAAGAACCUUACCUGGAUUUGACAUCCUGGGAAUCUUUCUGAAAAGUUAGAGUGCCCUUCGGGGAGCCCGGUGACAGGUGCUGCAUGGCUGUCGUCAGCUUGUGUCGUGAGAUGUUGGGUUAAGUCCCGCAACGAGCGCAACCCCUAUCUUUAGUUACCAGCGAUUCGGUCGGGAACUCUAGAGAUACUGCCCCGGUUAACGGGGAGGAAGGUGGGGAUGACGUCAAGUCCUCAUGGCCUUUAUGUCCAGGGCUACACACGUGCUACAAUGGGCUGUACAAAGGGUAGCGAGCCUGCGAAGGUCAGCCAAUCCCAUAAAGCAGUUCUUAGUUCGGAUUGGAGUCUGCAACUCGACUCCAUGAAGCUGGAAUCGCUAGUAAUCGUGGAUCAGCAUGCCACGGUGAAUACGUUCCCGGGCCUUGUACACACCGCCCGUCACACCAUGAGAGUUGAUUGUACCGGAAGUUGUUGGGCCAACCCAUUCGGGAGGCAGGCACCUAUGGUAUGAUUGAUGAUUAGGGUGAAGUCGUAACAAGGUAGCCGUUGGGGAACCAGCGGCUG
RNAcentral lists this ribosomal RNA (1289 nucleotides) under metagenome. RNAcentral's name for it is "bacterial SSU rRNA". It matches the Rfam family "Bacterial small subunit ribosomal RNA", at positions 243 to 1520 of the family's 1533-position model. The record is from RNAcentral.